AUUGAACGCUGGCGGCCGGCUUAACACAUGCAAGUCGAACGAGUGGCGGACGGGUGAGUAAUGCUUGGGAAUCUAGCUUCUGGAGGGGGAUAACUACGGGAAACUGUAGCUAAUACCGCGUAACAUAGGAUUAGGCCAAGGGGGAUUAGGUAGUUGGUGAGGUAAAGGCUCCACAAGCCGACCAUCUCUGGCUGGUCUGAGAGGCUGACAAGCCAACCUGGGACUGAGACACGUACCAGAUUCCGACGGGAGGCAGCAGUGGGGAAUAGUGCGUAAUGGGGGCAACCUGACGCAGCCAUGCCGCGUGAAUGAAGAAGGCCUUCGGUUUGUAAAGUUCUUUCGGUAGCGAGGCGUUAACUACAGAAGAAGCACCGGCUAACUCCGUGCCAGCAGCCGCGGUAAUAC
Molecule: ribosomal RNA, 405 nt
Filed under: uncultured bacterium
Lineage: Bacteria
Description: partial 16S ribosomal RNA
Rfam family: Bacterial small subunit ribosomal RNA
Source: RNAcentral